GUCAGAGGUGAAAUUCUUGGA
This 21-nucleotide non-coding RNA is filed under the name Arabidopsis thaliana (thale cress). The record is from RNAcentral. Lineage: Eukaryota; Viridiplantae; Streptophyta; Magnoliopsida; Brassicales; Brassicaceae.